UUUUUUUUUUUUUUUUUUUUUUUUUUCUUUAAUGGCAUGUGGAAGUUACUGGGCCAGGAAUUGAAUCCAAACUGCAGCUGCAGCCUACAUGACAAUUGCGACAACACUGGAUCCUUUAACCCACUGCAUGGAGCCAGGGAUCAAACCUAUGCCUCCUCAGCAAUCCAAGCCACUGCAGUCAAAUCUUAACCCACUGCACCACAUGGGAAAUCCAAUAUCUGAGUGUCUUUAUAUAUAAACUUAUUUAAGUAAAUAAAGUGAGUUAUUUUAAAGCCUGAUGCUAAGCCAAUCCUGAACCAGGUGGCUGGGACACUACCUGUCUAGUCACAGUAGAGCCCAGGUCUAAAGUAAGCAAAAGGAAGCUGACUGGAAAAAAGCAGAAAGGUAAAGUCUUGUCAAAACGCAAGAAGCCUCGUGGCAGGGUAAACAUUUUGGAAAAUAUUUUGUAGGUCUGUUUUCCAAGUGUCUGCAAAGCCAAAUUCCUUGGAAAUAUGUUCUUUGUGCAUGAGUGUGGCAUCUCUCUCAUUUUCCAGAGUGCAUGAAAUAUGCCAAUCUUCAAUUCUGUUAUUCAAAGUUAAAGGCAAAGUUGAAAAAAGCAAAUACAACUUCAUGCUGCAUGCAAAAUAUAAAAGUGCAACCAUAAAUACCGUUUUAAUUUUUAAAAACUUUAUAUCAUUUGGGGAGUUCCCCUAGAAGCUCAGUGGAAAGGAAUCUGACUAGCAUCCAUGAGGAUGUAGGUUCAAUCGCUGGCCUCACUCAAUAAGUUAAGGAUCUGGCAUUGUCAUGAGUGUGGUGUAGGUCACAGAUGCAGCUCAGAUCUGGUGUUGCUGUGGCCGUGGCGUAGGCCAGCAGCUACAGCUUAAAUUUGACCCCUAGCCUGGGAACCUCCAUAUGCCCCAGGUACAGCCCUAAAAAAACAAAACAAAACAAAAUUUGUAUCAUUUAAGAUCUGAUCAUAAAACAGAGGAUACAUAAAACACUCACCUGGGGUAAUCGGUAAAACUAUUUACAGAGGUGUGGGGAAACCAAGGGUUAAUGCAAUGUAUGGGGCUAAGGGAGGAAGAACCCACUGAGAAAGUCCACAUAGGAGAACCUACCAGGCACCAAGCUGAGUAUAAAGGGAUAAAUGGAAGAUAACCAGCACAGAAACAAGGCUAUUUUCAAAUAUUUUCAAACAUUUGCUGGGUAUUUAUUUACCACUGUGUAAUCACUAGCUUUAGGCUGGGCUGUGGACUACAGAGAUUAAGAGGGCAGAUAGCUUGGACUCAGCUUGCCACUCAUCAGCUAUGUGAGUUUCUUAUGUCACUGAACUUAGUUUAUUUGGUAAAAUGAGGGACAAAAGCAGUAUUCAUCCUAACACUGGUGUGAGAAGCCAAAGAGUAAAUGUAUUUAUGUUGAUGCUAGAAAGAUAUUACCAGAAUUCAGGUUCUUGUUCAUGCAGCCAAAGAAUGAACUCUGGAACACACAGGCAGCAAGCAAGCAAAAUCUUUAUUAUAAGAAAACAAAUAGCUCCCAGGACAGCUGGGAAGGGGUAGAAGAGCCCCCCUCUCUAUUGUCUUAUAGGGGUUUUUAUCCCUUAAAGAUGGGGGUUACCAAUGUGGGGUACAGAAAGAUGUGGGUUUUUUUCCUCAUUGGCUUUGCCCAAUUACCUAUAUCAGUCCUUGUCCAAUAGGGGUCUUGGAGUGGAAAUGUCCCGUAAGUCUCAUGGUUUCUUUGCCCUUCUCUUCCCGUAAACUGAGUCACAGGGGGUUAGAGAUUAAUGUCCAUCCGGGCAAAGGUACACUCCCUGUAGUAAACAAGGCCUGUGGGGAUGUUACUCUCUGGAAUCUUUAAGCCACAAAUGUUAAUCAAUACAUAUCAAAGAAGGCAUCAAAGCCCAUGCUCCUACAAUGACCACAUGAGUUAUUAUUCUGUCUCAAUGUUAGCCACGAAAAUGUUCAAGAGAAACCUAUGGGAAAAAAGCUUAAAAUUGUGGAAAUUCUAAAUUUAAACUGAAUUAAAUUAGUAUUUCAUAUGACUUGGUCAAAAAUAUUCUAUGUAAUUGACAGAACAUCUGCAAGGCCUCCAAAGCUGUAAAAUGAUCUAGACUAGCAGAGGUGGGUAGGGGUGAUGGUUGUGAUCAGUAAUGGUGGUAAAACCGAGCAGAAUCCUAUGGGGCUUUCCCAAGUACAAAGUACUAAGUAGAAGUACAAACGCCUUCCCAAGUACUAUGUCCCCUGGCUCUUGUUUAGGGAAAUGCUGAAGUCUUCCAGGCUUCCUAGAGACACAAAAGAGGAGGCUCAAGCAGUUAAUUAUUGGGAUGAUAGAGUCCUACACUCAGCGUCUGAUAAAGAAUGAGAUUAACACUAUUGCUCAUAUGAUCUAUAUCUCUGUGUGCAUUAGAAUAAUUGUAGCUUGUUCUGCUCAUAUAUGUUAGCAGGCAACUAAAAUUGUCAGCAAAGAGAUGAUACAGAUCCAUGUUGACAUCUUCCAUUCUAAGAAUAAAAUGCCCCCUAGGUCAGCAUGAAGUUACAGAAGACAGACCUUUGCCCCAGAUGCAUAAAACGGGAAUGAUGUCUGAUGGGAUUUGUCAGCAGCUCAUUUGCCCCUUUUCCGCUUGUUCAUUUCUGUUUUCCUCGGACCUCAAUCAUAAAGAUGAAAUCAUUAGGCAACAUUUAACCUAAGUCCUGAUUUUUGCUUUACUGAUGGUACACAAUGCCUUGCUUAACCUGGUGGUUCCUUUUCUGGAUGAGAAAGAGUAGGAAUGAACAAUUAAGUAGUUAAAGAGUGACUGACUUUCUAACCCUAGCUUCCCCUGGGUGAAUUUGCAGGUAGACCAGGCAGGCAAGAAAAGGCAGCAGGUCUGCACAUAUUGGAAAAAUAAGAAAGAAUCUGAACUCCUACCUUAAUGAUUAAUUAACAUUGUUUCUCUUAUUUCUCUUUUAAAAUUGUCAGAGCUGAGCAGAAUCUUGGGAGUUGGUCUCCAGACAUGAGUCCACCUUUGCCCCUGAUGGCUAGCUUUUCUGAAUAAAUCACCUUUCCUUUUUGCUGACACUUCCCCCUUAAUUAUUGGCUUUUGAGCGGCAAGCAGCUGAAUCUAAGUUUGGUAACAGUAGCAAGGAUUAGACAGUAAACACCUCCUGGAGAAGGCAGUAUUUAAAAUGAGACCAAUCUGAAGCCUAAGAGAAGUCAGCCAAGGAAAGAGGUGGGUGAAAAGAACUCUCAGCAGAGGGCACCCAAUGUGCCAAGGCCUGAGGAAGAGGAAACAAUCACAGGUUCAAUGAGCCAUGUAAUCAAGAUAUGAAAGAGUAAAGGGGGACUUGGGAUAGAACUCGCAGCCAUGUUUAGAGUUGGAAUCCCAUUUUUGGUGAGGGCAGUGAGUAGCCCUUGAAGGAUUUUAAACUAGGAAGAGACAUGAUCCCAUCCUCACCCUGUCAAUAAUUACAAAAACAAUGCUACAGGGAAUGAGGAGCCAUUGAAGAAUUUGGAGUCAAGGAUUGGAAAAGAAAAAAUAGUGUUUCGAACUUGCUAUUUAUCAUUUUAGUGAAUGCCUAAAACUAGAACUGUUAUAAAAAUGGUUUAUAAAAUGUCAUAACAUCAUUUUUCCUUGGGUUACCUGUACACAUAAGUGUUCAUUCAAUAUCUCAUUCAUUUAUUAAGAUAUCUACUGAGCACCUAAUAUAUACUGUGGGAACUGUGCUUAGAUAGGGACAGGAGAAGAAAACUCACAAAUAAGCAGUAUAAAAAGCACUAAGAUUUGAAAGACAAAGGACAUUUCUGAGUAGUGGGUAAAAUUCCAAAGGUGGGGACAAGUAGAGUAUAUGUGAUAAAAGAUAUUCCACAACGGUUAUUAGAACAUAUAACACAUGAAACACUCAUUCAAUAAAAAUCUAGUAAGCACCUACUAUGUGAGCAUUGUGCAGCCAGUGGUGAUAGAGUGAUAAAUGAGAAAACACUUAAAUUAUAACAAGAGUAACUUUUAUCAUUGCAGACAACACUAGGUUGAUUAUCAAGAGUGCAUGAGGAAGUAAAAUAGAAAAGUAAAGAGCAGCGCCUUAAUUUAAGAAGGCUUGGAGUGGCAAUAAAAUAUUUUUAAUUAAAACUUCUCUACUGAGAAUAGACAGUCUUUGAAAGCUUGUGUAAACUGUAAAUGAGUUACAUGCAAAUAUCCUAGUGAUAUUAGAGCUUUUAAAAUGACAUUAUAACUUUUGUAAUGUCAAAUAACUUUGAAUGUCAAGUGCUACCCC
This 4226-nucleotide long non-coding RNA is filed under the name Sus scrofa (pig). RNAcentral describes it as "lncRNA (ENSSSCG00065041318.1)". Lineage: Eukaryota; Metazoa; Chordata; Mammalia; Artiodactyla; Suidae. The record is from RNAcentral.